RNAcentral lists this ribosomal RNA (449 nucleotides) under uncultured bacterium. Its description in RNAcentral is "bacterial SSU rRNA". It matches the Rfam family "Bacterial small subunit ribosomal RNA", at positions 330 to 795 of the family's 1533-position model. The record is from RNAcentral.
UCCAGACUCCUACGGGAGGCAGCAGUGGGGAAUAUUGCACAAUGGGGGGAACCCUGAUGCAGCGACGCCGCGUGAGUGAAGAAGUAUUUCGGUAUGUAAAGCUCUGUCAGCAGGGAAGAAGAAAGACGGUACCUGACCAAGAAGCCCCGGCUAACUACGUGCCAGCAGCCGCGGUAAUACGUAGGGGGCAAGCGUUAUCCGGAUUUACUGGGUGUAAAGGGAGCGUAGACGGCAGGGCAAGUCUGGAGUGAAAGGCAGGGGCCCAACCCCUGGACUGCUCUGGAAACUGCGGCGCUGGAGUACGGGAGGGGCAGGCGGAAUUCCUGGUGUAGCGGUGAAAUGCGUAGAUAUCAGGAGGAACACCAGUGGCGAAGGCGACUUUCUGGACUGUAACUGACGCUGAGGCACGAAAGUGUGGGGAGCAACCAGGAUUAGAUACCCGAGUAUAC